UGACCUUGCAGUCGAGGGGCAUCACAUGAAGUAGCAAUACGGAUGGUGGCGACCGGCGCACGGGUGAGUAACACGUAUGCAACCUGCCUUCAACAAGGGGAUAACCCGUUGACAGACGGACUAAUACCCUAUAACACAGGGGUCCCGCAUGGGAAUAUUUGUUAUAGGACAACCGGUUGAAGAUGGGCAUGCGUUCCAUUAGCUAGUUGGCGGGGUAAGGGCCCACCAAGGCAACGAUGGAUAGGGGAACUGAGAGGUUUAUCCCCCACACUGGGUACUGAGACACGGACCAGACUCCUACGGGAGGGCAGCAGUGA
This 317-nucleotide ribosomal RNA is filed under the name uncultured Bacteroides sp. Its description in RNAcentral is "bacterial SSU rRNA". It matches the Rfam family "Bacterial small subunit ribosomal RNA", at positions 54 to 354 of the family's 1533-position model. Lineage: Bacteria; Pseudomonadati; Bacteroidota; Bacteroidia; Bacteroidales; Bacteroidaceae. The record is from RNAcentral.